This 353-nucleotide ribosomal RNA is filed under the name uncultured bacterium. Its description in RNAcentral is "bacterial SSU rRNA". It matches the Rfam family "Bacterial small subunit ribosomal RNA", at positions 8 to 353 of the family's 1533-position model. The record is from RNAcentral.
AGAGUUUGAUCCUGGCUCAGGACGAACGCUGGCGGCGCGCCUAACACAUGCAAGUCGAACGGAGCUGAGAGGAGCUUGCUUUUCUUAGCUUAGUGGCGAACGGGUGAGUAACGCGUGAGUAACCUGCCCUGGAGUGGGGGACAACAGUUGGAAACGACUGCUAAUACCGCAUAAGCCCACGAUCCGGCAUCGGAUUGAGGGAAAAGGAUUUAUUCGCUUCAGGAUGGACUCGCGUCCAAUUAGCUAGUUGGUGAGGUAACGGCCCACCAAGGCGACGAUUGGUAGCCGGACUGAGAGGUUGAACGGCCACAUUGGGACUGAAGACACGGCCCAGACUCCUACGGGAGGCAGCA